AAACCUCUUUUCUCAGGGAAGAAGAUCUGACGGUACCUGAGGAAUAAGCAUCGGCUAACUCCGUGCCAGCAGCCGCGGUAAUACGGAGGAUGCAAGCGUUAUCCGGAAUUAUUGGGCGUAAAGCGUCCGCAGGUGGUCUUUCAAGUCUGCUGUCAAAGACCAGAGCUUAACUCUGGGCAGGCGGUGGAAACUGAGAGACUAUAGUUCGGUAGGGGUAGCGGGAAUUCCCCGUGUAGCGGUGAAAUGCGUAGAUAUUGGGAAGAACAUCUUGGGGAAAAGGGGU
RNAcentral lists this ribosomal RNA (283 nucleotides) under uncultured cyanobacterium. RNAcentral describes it as "partial 16S ribosomal RNA". It matches the Rfam family "Bacterial small subunit ribosomal RNA", at positions 427 to 726 of the family's 1533-position model. Lineage: Bacteria; Bacillati; Cyanobacteriota. The record is from RNAcentral.